Phragmites australis (common reed) is the source of this 4036-nucleotide RNA transcript. RefSeq lists it as uncharacterized. NCBI's taxonomy places the organism in Eukaryota, Viridiplantae, Streptophyta, Magnoliopsida, Poales, Poaceae. The record is from RefSeq and is a predicted model, not a curated record. The transcript has 3 exons.
GAUGGUCUUGUCUCUUCCCAAACAGUAACAAGGCAAUGACCACCGCCCAUCCUCAUCCCCAUCCCGGUCCCCAUCCCCUCGCGUCCUUAGCGGAGAUGGAGGUGGUGUUCGACGACGGCGGCGGCGUUGGAGGAGGGACAACGAGGGCUUGGCAGGCCGCGGAGCCGGACGCCGUGGUGGAUGUGUACUCAGCAGCAGCAGAUUUUGAAGGAUUAAGAAGUGCAGCAAGAGGAUGUCUAGCUGGAUUAGGCAUAAAAGAAUUCCUUCUGUAAUCCCCGAGGACUCUGCCAUUGUAGACUUCAAGGAGGAGAUCAUGGUUGCCAACAGAAAGGCCACAAGUGGGAGAGAGUUGCCGAAAGAAGAUACACACAUCAUGACCAGUGAAACCAAGCAUUAUAGUCGUAAGGAAUUUUGCACUGAUAAGAAGGACAAUAAGAGCAGCAGUGGUGAUAAAAAGGAAAGUAACAAUAAGGAGGGGGUCAAGGAGACUGGCGAAAAGUAAUCUUGUAAGUGAGGACAUAGGAGGGAAAAUAAACAAUGUCCUCUGCGUCUAGUGAUAUACUAAAUAAAGGUGUGUGUGUGUGCACUCAUGCUAGUCCUCAUGGUUCGUGCGCGAACUGAAUAAAGUGUCACCGUUGCAACUGUGUUAUAUGUCUAUCUAUCAUGCAAUAUGAUAUAAUGUCAUUGUGCCCUCAAGCCUCUCGAGACUUAUUUUUGUUUAUACAAAAGAUAUUUUAGUAACUCUCGCUCUCUCCCCUUCCCCCAACCAAAUCCUCUCUCUUUCUCUCUCCAUGGCGGCUGGCUGUUUGAGCCCAUUCCUGGUCAGAUCUGGCCAUGUUUUGGGUGAGUGCGUGGCUGCCCACGCACAUGUUUUGGGUCUUGCUCCUACGCAUCCGUGGCAAGUGGUGUGAUUUGGCGCUUCGGUGUGGCUUGUUGCAAUGAAGUUUGAGCUACCAUCGCAUUGGGCUCAACGAGUGUAUUGAAUUAACUAUAUCGUAGGGGCACACCCUGAAGCUCCAUGACUCAUGAGAUGUCGUGUUCGAGGAGGAGCGACAAUGGGAUUGGGCGACAACAUCAUCUGUGUUUGGCCCUAGCGGCAAUGACACUUUCAUCAUCGAGUACACAAUGGAGGGCAACACCGACGUUGCGUUGACAACUGUAGGGGCAAGUUCACUUGCAGUGUAGGCAGAGCCACCCUCGCCGACAACACUGGCCAGAGCUGCACCAGAAGUAGUGUGGGUGACACCGUCCAACAACAAGUCGUUCAAUUCUGAGGGGGUGUCACUUUGGUAUCGCAAGGUGGAGAACAUCUUCGGCAUGACUAUCAAUUUGACCUCGAUGGCUCGGAGUACAAUGACAUGUGCCUCAUUGCUACCAAAGAAUCUACAAGAAUCAAGUAGGCCAUGGCGGAUAGCUCCUGGAAAUGUGCCAUGGAUGAAGAGAUGAGGUCCAUCCACAACAACACACCUGGGAGCUCGCUGCUCUCUAUGCUGGACAUUGGGCUCUCCAUGCUAGUCACACCUGGGAUCUAUUGGGCUCAAGUGGUUUUCAGGGUCAAGAAAGAUCUACAAGCUUACAUUGAAAAGCGUAAAGCACGUUUGGUUGCAUUGAACAAUCCAUUAAACGAUUGAUGAAAGAUCCAUAAGGUAACAAGUGGGGUUUCAUUGAUGCAUUGAACAAUUGAUGAAAGAUGCAUAAAGAGAUCAUAAACCAAAUCUAUGAGUAUAGCCAGAUUAAGCAUAAAAACAUGAUCUCAAUAGUUACUAGUUGUAGUUCUAGCCAAAGAUGAUAUUGCCUAAGUUAAGCUUACCUUCCUUAAAUCUAUCACCCCCCUCUUUUACGAUACCGUAGAUCACACCCUCACCGAUUGCUACUGUCACGAGGACAGCUAAUCACUACACCCUACGGUAAUAUAAACUUAAGUAAAUGGUAUUGAUCCAUGAAAAGCCUCGAACUGAUAUUAGUCUAUCCAGUAGAGACUAGAGUCACUUAUACUUAACCUAUAUCCUAGUUAACAUGAUAGUUUGACGAACAAACCUAAUCACCACAAUCAUAUCUACAUGCUACUUGUCUAGCCCAAAACUAAACGAGGGAUAAAGCAUAAUCAUGCAAACCAAGCAUCAAGAGAGAACAAGAUUACUAAUCAUACUUCAACAAACGACAAAUCAAUCUUCAUAAAGAUAGUUGAUACAAACACAAUCAUGGACAUACCUUGACGUCGAUUGAAUCUUGGCUCUUGAACUUUUGAUCUAAUUAGGACCUUGACUAAAUAGAGCCUAAUUAGAUUGUCCUAUGAUUAUAGGGCUCUAAUACAACGCUAAUUACUAGGCUAUAAUUAAACCAAUUAGACUAACCUAAAUUAAUAUAGAUAACUCGACAACUAAACUUGAAGCAGGGGCAAGAUUUCAUUGAUAUUGGCUCUAAACUUGAGAUUGGAUCAUUGGGGCAUUAAGAGCUUCUGUUUAUAUAGGGGCUUGAAGACCAUGGCACGCACCUUGAGGCGAUUGGAGUUAGUGUAGCGCGACACUAGGGCUUGGUGUCAAGCGACACUCGGCCUUGGUUUGCGGGCCACCGUCGGUCUUCACGUAUGUUGGUGCUAGUCCUUCUAGAAGUCUUCAUGUGCCUUCCAUGUGGGUCCAUUACACCAAAUCUUCUCGGAAUAGACUCUGGAAGGAGUCUGUAUCGCCGACGAUUUCCAAAUUUCAUUUUUGUACUUUUGAAAUAUUCUUCAUGGCGACCCCUCCCACAAGUUCUCCAGAAUCUACGAUAGUGGCACACGAACCAAGAUUCUAGAGGACUUGUGCGAGGGGAAGCUCUCAGACUUGGUAGGGCCGAGAUGGGCCUUGAGUGUCGUGCGGCACCAUGCAGAUUAUGGGCCCCAUCUAGCCUAAUUUCUGUUGUUUGGUUGCUAAAGUUUGGGCCUUUUCAUUUGAGGCCCAAUUUAUCCUUUUUUGUCGUCUUUUUUGAUGAUUCUGCAAAUCAUUUUAAAACAACACUAUAUACGAAAAUCAUCAAGAUUAGAGGCAAUAAUCAAUAAUGAUGAUAAAACAAUAAUAUACUGAGAGAAUUUGACUCAAAUUUGGGUCGAUAACCGGCAUCAACAUAUGUCUUCUAGCCUCUUGGAUUUGAAGAUAUGAAUUAGAUAAAGAUAAGAUGUGGAAACAAGUAAUUUAUCAUAGUAUAAAACGUGUGCUCCAAAUAUCUUUUAUUGUCCUUUAAUCUUGGAAAGGAGUGUUAUGGGCAAGUAAAGCAGCUAAAAUGUCUUAUAGAUGGCUCUUGGGUAAUGGAAAAAUGAUUUGGUUUUGGGAGGAUAAUUGGCUGGGAUCAUCCGGUCUAGCUAUUAUCUUUUGGGAUAUUUACAUUAUUUGUUAAUGAAAAAAAUGCCACUAUUGCAGAACUUUGGGAUGGGUGCAAUUUAAAAUGUACAUUCUGUAGAUGUGUGGAUGAUAGGUUAAUGCUAAUGUGGCUGGAACUAUGCCAAAUAGUUAACUAUGCCAAAUAGUAAAACUGUGCAAUCACUGACACUUCUAUGGUCCAUCCAUUUUUUUAGAUAAAGGAAUAGUUCUUAUUCCGACCUCUGUAUAAAGUUAUGCACGCAGUCGUAUGGUCCAUCCAUUUGGAGGAGACCGGUAAUAAAAAGGCCCUUGAAUUCUGAAAAAGGAUGUUUGACAGGCUGAAGCUUGAUAAACAACAGAUGGGUAAUGUCUUGUGGCCUACCAAAGCUGGAUGUCUUCUCUGGCACCUUGGUUUAGGCUUAUGAUUCUUGGUCUGGGCGUCCCUUCUCCAUAUCCGGCAAUGUGGUGAGUGGCGUGGCGCCCGGUCGGGCGUGACGAUGAAGACAUUGCUAUGUUUCUAUGUAAUUUAAUUGUUUGCUAUUGUCUCUUUUAAAAUUGAUGUGACUGGAAAAGUGGUUCUGAACCUUGUUGUAGAUUUCUUCUUCUCUAGGGUGAUGCAAAACAGGGGUGUAAGCACAAUGAUGUAUUAGGGCCCCUUGUUAGGGUUUUGGUUUCUCCUAUAAAUAUUUUGGUUCUAGUUU